This 1317-nucleotide ribosomal RNA is filed under the name Glycine soja. RNAcentral describes it as "bacterial SSU rRNA". The stretch from base 139 to 1317 matches the Rfam family "Bacterial small subunit ribosomal RNA". Lineage: Eukaryota; Viridiplantae; Streptophyta; Magnoliopsida; Fabales; Fabaceae. The record is from RNAcentral.
AUUUAGUUCUAUUACUUAAUUAUUACAAUUAGUUUAUUAUAUGGAUAAUAAGGACUGAAGAGUGGUUUCAUUGCUCAAUUAGUUGUUACAACAGAAAGAGAAAAAUAAACAAAAUGUUUAAUUACUUAUAUAAUUUUUAUAGUUUCUAAAUUUAUCUAUUUUAGUCUUUAUAUUUAAUAAGUAGAUUUUUUAGUUUUUGAAGUUUACAUUUUAAUUUUCAUAAAAUCUUUGUUAUUAAAUUUUUUUAAUUCACUUAUUAAAAUUUUAAUUCCCAAAAGGCCCAUGUUUAUGGAAUAAGCAUUGGUUAACUCUGUGUGAGUAGUUGUGAUAAGAUAAAGGAUGCAAGUGUUAUCCGGAAUGAUUGGGCGUAAAGCGUCUAUAGGUGGUUUUUUAAGUUUGCUGUCAAAUCCCAGGGCUCAACCUUGGACAGGUGGUGAAAACUACCAAGUUGGAGUACAGUAGGGGUAGAGGAAAUUUUCGGUGGAGCGGUGAAAUGCGUAGAGAUCGAAAAGAACACCAAUGGCGAAAGCACUCUGUUGGCCCGACACUGACACUGAGAGACGAAAGCUAGGGGAACGAAUGGGAUUAGAUACCCCAGUAGUCCUAGCCGUAAACGAUGGAUACUAGGCGCUAUGUGUAUCAACCCGUGCAAUGUUGUAGCUAACGCGUUAAGUAUCCCGCCUGGGGAGAACGUUCACAAGAAGGAAACUCAAAGGAAUUGAUGGGGGGUCGCACAAGCGUUGGAGCAUGUUGUUUUAAUUCGAUGCAAAGCGAAGAACUUUACCCGGGCUUGAUAUGUUGUGAAUCCUCUUGAAAAAAAGGGGUGCCUUCGGGGACCUAGACACAGGUGGUGCAUGACUAUCAUCAGCUCGUGCCAUAAGGUGUUGGGUUAAGUCCGCAACGAGCGCAACCCUCAUGUUUAGUUGCCAACAUUGAGUUUAGAACCCUAAGCAGACUGUCAGUGAUAAGCCGGAGGAAGGUGAGGAUGACAUCAAGUCAUCAUGCCCCUUAUGACACGUGCUACACUGGAUGUGACAAAGGAUCGUGAUCCCGCAAGGGUGAACUAGCUCCAAAAACUCGUCCUUAGUUCGGAUUAUAGACUACAACUUACCUGCAUGAAGCCGAAAUCGCUAGUAAUCGCCAGUCAGUCAUACGGCGACGAAUUCAUUCCCGGGCCUUGUACACACCGCCCGUCAUACUAUGGGAGCUGACCAUGCCAGAAGUCGUUACCUUAACCGCAAGGAGGGGGAUGCCAAAGGCAAGGUUAGUGACUGAAGUGAAGUCGUAAUAAGAUAGUCGUAUUGGAAGGUGUGGCUG